GGUUUCCCUGCUAUGUUUUGUCACACAUCAUUGCUGGGAGAGUUCGGUGCUAUCCAAGUGACUCCCCUGGGAGAGGGCAACUGGAAAUUUAUGCCUGGUGUCUUCCUGGACUCCAACCUAUGUACCUUUUUCCUUGGAUGAUUUUAACCUGUCUCCUUUUGCUGCAAUGAACCAUAACCAUGAGUAUAACAGCUUUUCUAAUUUUUGUGAGUCCCUCAAGUGAAUCAUCAAACCUAAGGUAGUUUUGGGACCCCCAUCACAGACAGUCAAACAGGAGCAGGGCAAGAAGAGCUGCUUUGCCUGGAAGGCUAAUGAGUCUGAACUUCACCCUGGAGGUAAUCGUUAUAGUAACUCCAGGCUCUAACCUGAAGCUGACAUGAUAAGGCCAAAUGUACACCUCUAGAAGACACUUCCGACUGCAGAGGGGAAUGGAUGGGGGAGCUGAGGGAGUAGAGCUGAAGUGGGAAGACCAUGGCCUGGAAAGAGAUGGCUGAACCAGUCCAGGAACCAUCCGAUUGCUCUUUUUUCUCUCCUUGAAGCCAUCCCCUUAGCCCUCUGCCCACAGUGAUCACUAACUGAUCGCUCCUCCUUAAAAGCCACCGAAAAGUGUGCUUGGCCGAUCUCCCUGACCUCAAUUUCUCUGCUGGCAGAAUCACAAGAAAGGCAUCAGCACCUUCUGUGAAAUGGGGAGCCAUGCAGAGGAGGUACCCAGGUGGCAAGGAGUCCAUGUCAGCUGCCGUCAUCCACACCA
RNAcentral lists this non-coding RNA (751 nucleotides) under Pongo abelii (Sumatran orangutan). Lineage: Eukaryota; Metazoa; Chordata; Mammalia; Primates; Hominidae. The record is from RNAcentral.